GGAAUAUUGCACAAUGGGCGAAAGCCUGAUGCAGCAACGCCGCGUGAGCGAUGAAGGCCUUCGGGUCGUAAAGCUCUGUCCUCAAGGAAGAUAAUGACGGUACUUGAGGAGGAAGCCCCGGCUAACUACGUGCCAGCAGCCGCGGUAAUACGUAGGGGGCUAGCGUUAUCCGGAAUUACUGGGCGUAAAGGGUGCGUAGGUGGUUUCUUAAGUCAGAGGUGAAAGGCUACGGCUCAACCGUAGUAAGCCUUUGAAACUGGGAAACUUGAGUGCAGGAGAGGAGAGUGGAAUUCCUAGUGUAGCGGUGAAAUGCGUAGAUAUUAGGAGGAACACCAGUUGCGAAGGCGGCUCUCUGGACUGUAACUGACACUGAGGCACGAAAGCGUGGGGAGCAAACAGGA
RNAcentral lists this unclassified non-coding RNA (401 nucleotides) under plant metagenome. RNAcentral describes it as "partial contains 5.8S ribosomal RNA, internal transcribed spacer 2, and large subunit ribosomal RNA". It matches the Rfam family "Bacterial small subunit ribosomal RNA", at positions 358 to 777 of the family's 1533-position model. The record is from RNAcentral.